RNAcentral lists this ribosomal RNA (415 nucleotides) under Theileria equi. Its description in RNAcentral is "SSU rRNA". It matches the Rfam family "Eukaryotic small subunit ribosomal RNA", at positions 558 to 1006 of the family's 1831-position model. Lineage: Eukaryota; Apicomplexa; Aconoidasida; Piroplasmida; Theileriidae. The record is from RNAcentral.
AGUCUGGUGCCAGCAGCCGCGGUAAUUCCAGCUCCAAUAGCGUAUAUUAAACUUGUUGCAGUUAAAAAGCUCGUAGUUGAAUUUCUGCUGCAUCGUGGUUCUUCGCUAUGUCGAGUGAUCUUCGUUGUGGCUUAGUUGGGGCAUGUUUUCAUGACUCGACGUUUACUUUGAGAAAAUUAGAGUGCUUCAAGCAGGCUUUUGCCUUGAAUACUUUAGCAUGGAAUAAUGGAGUAGGACUUUGGUUCUAUUUUGUUGGUUUUAGGAGCCGGAGUAAUGGUUAAUAGGAACAGUUGGGGGCAUUCGUAUUUGACUGUCAGAGGUGAAAUUCUUAGAUUUGUCAAAGACGAACUACUGCGAAAGCAUUUGCCAAGGAUGUUUCCAUUAAUCAAGAACGAAAGUUAGGGGAUCGAAGACG